GAUGAACGCUGGCGGCGUGCCUAAUACAUGCAAGUCGAACGACACUUCUGUAUCACCUAGUGCUUGCACUCACCGAUAGAGGGUUGAGUGGCGAACGCGUCAGAAACUCGUUUGCCACCUGCCCUAACGUGGGGGAUCAUACUCUGAUACAGGUUCUAAUCUACCAUUAACAUCAUUAGCGCUUGGUACCUUUGUCGAAGGUAUGUGCACUUCCGCUUUUAGCUGGUCGCGUGGCGGAUUAGCUAGUUGGUAGGGUAAAGGCUUACCAAGGCAAUGAUGCGUAGCCGAAUUGAGAGGUUGAUCGGCCACACUGGAACUGAGACACGGCCCAAACUCCUACGGGAGGCAGCAGUAGGGAAUCUUCGACAAUGGGCGAAAGCCUGAUGGAGCAACGCCGCGUGGGUGAAGAAGGUCUUCGGAUCGUAAAGCCCUGUUGUUGGGGAAGAAAGGGCGUGGGAUUAACUGUUCACGUUUUGACGGUAUCUAACCAGAAAGCCACGGCUAACUUCGUG
RNAcentral lists this ribosomal RNA (512 nucleotides) under uncultured bacterium. RNAcentral's name for it is "partial 16S ribosomal RNA". It matches the Rfam family "Bacterial small subunit ribosomal RNA", at positions 28 to 507 of the family's 1533-position model. The record is from RNAcentral.